This is a long non-coding RNA of Amphimedon queenslandica, 215 nucleotides long. RefSeq lists it as uncharacterized. Lineage: Eukaryota; Metazoa; Porifera; Demospongiae; Haplosclerida; Niphatidae. The record is from RefSeq and is a predicted model, not a curated record. The transcript is spliced from 2 exons.
AUAGGAAAAAUACAGCCACUUAAGAUUAAUGAUACUAACAUUAGAAUAUCUGGAUCAGGUCCAGAUGUUGAUUAUGAAUCAUGGACUAUACUAAUACAUCCAAUAGCACAGGAUACAAAUUGCUACACACAACUCAUAGCACCUGAUAACAUAACACUAAGUUCGUCUAUCACUGAUAUAUUAUUCAUUUCUGAUGUUAUAGCAGUUUUUCCUGA